This 233-nucleotide long non-coding RNA is filed under the name Actinidia chinensis (golden kiwifruit). RNAcentral describes it as "long non-coding RNA (ACHI_LNC009718)". Lineage: Eukaryota; Viridiplantae; Streptophyta; Magnoliopsida; Ericales; Actinidiaceae. The record is from RNAcentral.
UUAUUAACUAAAGGUUAUGACUUUUUACCUGGGUCGGAAACUGUUGCUGUUAUUUACCGCAUAUAUUUUAAAGUUAUGAAUACUUUAACCCCUAAUGUAAAAUAGGUAGGUAAUAACUUAGGCUAUACUACUCUGAUAGAGUCAAAUAUGUUAUCAAAUUCCUUUACUGCAACUAAUAAGUUGAUUAAAUGGGAAGAUAUAGAAUUUCCUGAAAGAUGGAGAAUUCAGAGGGC